GGAUGUGAGGGCGAUCUGGCUACGACAUCUGACACCCCAUUGAUCGCCAGGGUUCAUUCGGCUGAUCUGGCUGGCUAGGCGGGUGUCCCCUUCCUCCCUCAGUGCUCCAUGUGCGUCCCUCCCGAAACUGCAGGUGCCCUUGGUCGAAGAGGACGACCAUCCCGAUAGAGGAGGACUGUUCUUCGGUCAAGGGAAUACGAGUAGCUGCGCUCCCCUGCUAGAACCUCCAAACAAGCUCUCAAGAAGAAGUACAAAUGGCUAAUACAUGAAGAAAUUAUCAACAUCCUCAGCCAUAAAGGAAAUGCAAAUCA
Molecule: small nuclear RNA, 311 nt
Filed under: Castor canadensis (American beaver)
Lineage: Eukaryota; Metazoa; Chordata; Mammalia; Rodentia; Castoridae
Description: 7SK RNA (ENSCCNG00000024632.1)
Rfam family: 7SK RNA
About the family: 7SK was discovered as an abundant small nuclear RNA in the mid-70s but a possible function has only recently been suggested. Two independent studies have found that 7SK RNA binds the CDK9/cyclin T complex (known as elongation factor P-TEFb).
Source: RNAcentral